RNAcentral lists this ribosomal RNA (781 nucleotides) under uncultured Achromobacter sp. Its description in RNAcentral is "bacterial SSU rRNA". It matches the Rfam family "Bacterial small subunit ribosomal RNA", at positions 9 to 785 of the family's 1533-position model. The record is from RNAcentral. Lineage: Bacteria; Pseudomonadati; Pseudomonadota; Betaproteobacteria; Burkholderiales; Alcaligenaceae.
GAGUUUGAUCCUGGUUCAGAUUGAACGCUAGCGGGAUGCCUUACACAUGCAAGUCGAACGGCAGCACGGACUUCGGUCUGGUGGCGAGUGGCGAACGGGUGAGUAAUGUAUCGGAACGUGCCCAGUAGCGGGGGAUAACUACGCGAAAGCGUAGCUAAUACCGCAUACGCUCUACGGGGGAAAGCAGGGGAUCGUAAGACCUUGCACUAUUGGAGCGGCCGAUAUCGGAUUAGCUAGUUGGUGGGGUAACGGCUCACCAAGGCGACGAUCCGUAGCUGGUUUGAGAGGACGACCAGCCACACUGGGACUGAGACACGGCCCAGACUCCUACGGGAGGCAGCAGUGGGGAAUUUUGGACAAUGGGGGAAACCCUGAUCCAGCCAUCCCGCGUGUGCGAUGAAGGCCUUCGGGUUGUAAAGCACUUUUGGCAGGAAAGAAACGUCAUGGGUUAAUACCCCGUGAAACUGACGGUACCUGCAGAAUAAGCACCGGCUAACUACGUGCCAGCAGCCGCGGUAAUACGUAGGGUGCAAGCGUUAAUCGGAAUUACUGGGCGUAAAGCGUGCGCAGGCGGUUCGGAAAGAAAGAUGUGAAAUCCCAGAGCUUAACUUUGGAACUGCAUUUUUAACUACCGGGCUAGAGUGUGUCAGAGGGAGGUGGAAUUCCGCGUGUAGCAGUGAAAUGCGUAGAUAUGCGGAGGAACACCGAUGGCGAAGGCAGCCUCCUGGGAUAACACUGACGCUCAUGCACGAAAGCGUGGGGAGCAAACAGGAUUAGAUAC